CAAGUCGAACGGCUCUUCGGAGCAGUGGCGCACGGGUGAGUAACGCGUGGGAAUCUACCCUGAGGUUCGGAAUAACGGUUGGAAACGACCGCUAAUACCGGAUGUGCCCUAUGGGGCAAAGGCUUGCCGCCUUGGGAGGAGCCCGCGUCCGAUUAGCUUGUUGGUGGGGUAAUGGCCUACCAAGUCUACGAUCAGUAGCUGGUUUGAGAGGAUGAUCAGCAACACUGGGACUGAGACACGGCCCAGACUCC
Molecule: ribosomal RNA, 251 nt
Filed under: uncultured bacterium
Lineage: Bacteria
Description: partial 16S ribosomal RNA
Rfam family: Bacterial small subunit ribosomal RNA
Source: RNAcentral